RNAcentral lists this ribosomal RNA (432 nucleotides) under uncultured bacterium. RNAcentral describes it as "bacterial SSU rRNA". It matches the Rfam family "Bacterial small subunit ribosomal RNA", at positions 29 to 437 of the family's 1533-position model. The record is from RNAcentral.
AACGAACGCUGGCGGCGUGGCUAAGGCAUGCAAGUCGAGCGGACCUAUCCAAAGGGUAACUGGCGGGUAGGUUAGCGGCGGACGGGUGAGGAAUACAUGGAUAACGUACCCCGGACAUAGGGAUAGCGGCGGGCCGCAAGGUCCUUUGCGAAAGUGCCGGUAAUACCUGAUGACCUCGUAGGAUCGCAUGAUCCCGCGAGCAAAGCUCCGACGGUCUGGGAUCGGUUCAUGUCCAUCAGCUAGUUGGCGGGGUAACGGCCCACCAAGGCGGCGACGGGUACCGGGUGUGAGAGCAUGACCCGGCACAUCGGAACUGAGACACGGUCCGGACACCUACGGGUGGCUGCAGCAACGAAUAUUCCGCAAUGGGCGAAAGCCUGACGGAGCGACGCCGCGUGCAGGAAGAAGUCUUUCGGGAUGUAAACUGCUGUC